This 253-nucleotide ribosomal RNA is filed under the name uncultured bacterium. RNAcentral's name for it is "partial 16S ribosomal RNA". It matches the Rfam family "Bacterial small subunit ribosomal RNA", at positions 524 to 776 of the family's 1533-position model. The record is from RNAcentral.
AACGUAGGAGACAAACGUUAUCCGGAGUUACUGGGCGUAAAGGGCGUGCAGGUGGUCUGUUAAGUCUGGCGUGAAAGCUCCUGGCUAAACCGGGAGAGGUCGUUGGAUACUGGCGGACUAGAGGACGGUAGAGGCGUGUGGAAUUCCGGGUGUAGUGGUGAAAUGCGUAGAGAUCCGGAGGAACACCAGUGGCGAAGGCGACUACCUGGCCUGUUCUUGACGCUGAGGCGCGAAAGCUAGGGGAGCAAACGGG